This 403-nucleotide ribosomal RNA is filed under the name uncultured bacterium. Its description in RNAcentral is "partial 16S ribosomal RNA". It matches the Rfam family "Bacterial small subunit ribosomal RNA", at positions 28 to 526 of the family's 1533-position model. The record is from RNAcentral.
GAUGAACGCUGGCGGCGUGCCUAAUACAUGCAAGUCGAACGCAGUGGGGACGGGUGAGUAACACGUGGGUAACCUCCCAUCAGAGGGGAUAACACUUGGCAACAGGUGCUAAACCGAUACUGAUGGAUGAACCCGCGCUGCAUUAGCUAGUUGGUGAGGUAACGGCUCACCAAGGCCACGACGAACAGCCGACCUGAGAGGGUGAUCGGCCACACUGGAACUGAGAAACGGCCCAGACUCCUACGGGAGGCAGCAGUGGGGAAUCUUGGGCAAUGGACGAAAGUCUGACCGAGCAACGCCGCAUGAGUGAAGAAGGUUUUCGGAUCGUAAGACUCUGUUGUUAGGGAAGCGGUAUCUAACCAAAAAGCCACGGCUAACUACGUGCCAGCAGCCGCGGUAAUAC